GGUACUAACGAAAACCACAGCAUAUGCCAAUUAAAUACCAACGUUUGUAAACAAUUGUAAACAAAGGUAUCUGAUGAAAGGUAAAUAUGGCAAACACCAACUUGAAUUAUUGUAGCUCUUCCGUAAAUUUGUAAGUAUAAUGAAAAAGUACUUGUGUGUGUUCAUACCUCAUAUUUCCUGUUUUUUGAUUAGAUAUAGAGUGGUGAGUACUCCCAUGUAUUCAUGGCCCCCAGAGCAGCAUUGUCAGAGAAAUGGCAGAAAGCGCUCAAGGCAAUUAAAGCAAGGGUCUGCCUUUUGGCAAUGGACGAGGCUCACUGUAUGAUAGUAUGGGGAAGCACAUUUUGACCAGCAUAGUGGGGAUGGUAGCCAUCCUCAGUGGAGUGCCAGUGUGCUGUCUUACUGCUACAUGCACCUCUGAGAUGCAGAAGGAAAUGUGUGGAGUACUGGGGAUGGACCUGCAGCAUUGCACCCACAUAACAGUCAUACCAAGCAGGACCCAACAGUAGCCGCUCCAUGUAUUUAGUAGAGUCAUCGAUCAGAUUGGUGUACACAACCUGUUUGGUGGAAAUCUUCCAUCAUGGGAUAGGAAAGACGUCAGAGCAAGACAUCCCUACAUCCUUCAAGUAGCCAAAAGGACCCUGCCGCCUACUGAUCGCUACCAUUGAGUUUGUCCUUGGUAUGGAUGUCCCUGAUGUUGAGUUCAUUAUACACUGGGGCCCUGC
Molecule: long non-coding RNA, 722 nt
Organism: Patiria miniata (bat star)
Lineage: Eukaryota; Metazoa; Echinodermata; Asteroidea; Valvatida; Asterinidae
Exons: 3
Source: RefSeq, a predicted model, not a curated record